CCUACGGGUGGCUGCAGUGGGGAAUAUUGGACAAUGGGCGAAAGCCUGAUCCAGCCAUGCCGCGUGUGUGAAGAAGGCCUUCGGGUUGUAAAGCACUUUCAGUGGGGAAGAAAGCCUUGGGGCUAAUACCCUCGAGGAAGGACAUCACCCACAGAAGAAGCACCGGCUAACUCCGUGCCAGCAGCCGCGGUAAUAAGGAGGGUGCGAGCGUUAAUCGGAAUUACUGGGCGUAAAGCGCGCGUAGGCGGUCUGAUAAGCCGGUUGUGAAAGCCCCGGGCUCAACCUGGGAACGGCAUCCGGAACUGUCAGGCUAGAGUGCAGGAGAGGAAGGUAGAAUUCCCGGUGUAGCGGUGAAAUGCGUAGAGAUCGGGAGGAAUACCAGUGGCGAAGGCGGCCUUCUGGACUGACACUGACGCUGAGGUGCGAAAGCGUGGGUAGCAAACAGGAUUAGAUACCCGUGUAGUC
RNAcentral lists this ribosomal RNA (465 nucleotides) under Vreelandella stevensii. RNAcentral's name for it is "partial 16S ribosomal RNA". It matches the Rfam family "Bacterial small subunit ribosomal RNA", at positions 338 to 795 of the family's 1533-position model. The record is from RNAcentral. Lineage: Bacteria; Pseudomonadati; Pseudomonadota; Gammaproteobacteria; Oceanospirillales; Halomonadaceae.